AACGAACGCUGGCGGCGUGCCUAACACAUGCAAGUCGUGCGAGAAAGUUCCUUCGGGAGCGAGUAAAGCGGCGCACGGGUGAGUAACACGUAGGUAACCUGCCCCCCAGUCUGGAACAACUAGAGGAAACUCUAGCUAAUGCCGGAUGAGACCACGAUCCCUUCGGGGGUUGCGGCCAAAGAUGGCCUCUACUUGUAAGCUAUCGCUGAGGGAUGGGCCUGCGGGCCAUUAGCUUGUUGGUGAGGUAACGGCUCACCAAGGCUGUGAUGGCUAGCUGGUCUGAGAGGAUGACCAGCCACACUGGGACUGAGACACGGCCCAGACUCCUACGGGAGGCAGCAGUGGGGAAUAUUGCGCAAUGGGCGAAAGACCUGACGCAGCGACGCCGCGUGGGUGAUGAAGG
This 403-nucleotide ribosomal RNA is filed under the name uncultured bacterium. RNAcentral describes it as "bacterial SSU rRNA". It matches the Rfam family "Bacterial small subunit ribosomal RNA", at positions 29 to 414 of the family's 1533-position model. The record is from RNAcentral.